UAGGGAAUCUUCCGCAAUGGACGAAAGUCUGACGGAGCGACGCCGCGUGAGCGAAGAAGGCCUUCGGGUUGUAAAGCUCUGUUGUCAGGGAAGAACAAGUACCGUUCGAACAGGGCGGUACCUUGACGGUACCUGACGAGGAAGCCACGGCUAACUACGUGCCAGCAGCCGCGGUAAUACGUAGGUGGCAAGCGUUGUCCGGAAUUAUUGGGCGUAAAGCGCGCGCAGGCGGUCCCUUAAGUCUGAUGUGAAAGCCCACGGCUUAACCGUGGAGGGUCAUUGGAAACUGGGGGACUUGAGUGCAGAAGAGGAGAGCGGAAUUCCACGUGGAGCGGUGAAAUGCGUAGGGAUGUGGAGGAACACCAGUGGCGAAGGCGGCUCUCUGGUCUGUAACUGACGCUGAGGCGCGAAAGCGUGGGGAGCAAACAGG
This 430-nucleotide ribosomal RNA is filed under the name Bacillota bacterium. RNAcentral describes it as "Firmicutes bacterium partial 16S ribosomal RNA". It matches the Rfam family "Bacterial small subunit ribosomal RNA", at positions 355 to 776 of the family's 1533-position model. The record is from RNAcentral. Lineage: Bacteria; Bacillati; Bacillota.